UUCGGGGUACUCGAGCGGCGAACGGGUGAGUAACACGUGAGCAACCUGCCCCAGGCUUUGGGAUAACCCCGGGAAACCGGGGCUAAUACCGAAUAUGACCUCUGACCGCAUGGUUGGUGGUGGAAAGUUUUUCGGCUUGGGAUGGGCUCGCGGCCUAUCAGCUUGUUGGUGGGGUGAUGGCCUACCAAGGCGACGACGGGUAGCCGGCCUGAGAGGGCGACCGGCCACACUGGGACUGAGACACGGCCCAGACUCCUACGGGAGGCAGCAGUGGGGAAUAUUGCACAAUGGGCGGAAGCCUGAUGCAGCGACGCCGCGUGAGGGAUGACGGCCUUCGGGUUGUAAACCUCUUUCAGCAGGGACGAAGCGUAAGUGACGGUACCUGCAGAAGAAGCGCCGGCCAACUACGUGCCAGCAGCCGCGGUAAGACGUAGGGCGCGAGCGUUGUCCGGAUUUAUUGGGCGUAAAGAGCUCGUAGGCGGCUUGUCGCGUCGACCGUGAAAACUUGGGGCUCAACCCCAAGCCUGCGGUCGAUACGGGCAGGCUAGAGUUCGGUAGGGGAGACUGGAAUUCCUGGUGUAGCGGUGAAAUGCGCAGAUAUCAGGAGGAACACCGGUGGCGAAGGCGGGUCUCUGGGCCGAUACUGACGCUGAGGAGCGAAAGCGUGGGGAGCGAACAGGAUUAGAUA
Molecule: ribosomal RNA, 688 nt
Filed under: Micromonospora sp. 11724
Lineage: Bacteria; Bacillati; Actinomycetota; Actinomycetes; Micromonosporales; Micromonosporaceae
Description: bacterial SSU rRNA
Rfam family: Bacterial small subunit ribosomal RNA
Source: RNAcentral